Long non-coding RNA from Bombus terrestris (buff-tailed bumblebee), 846 nucleotides. RefSeq lists it as uncharacterized. Lineage: Eukaryota; Metazoa; Arthropoda; Insecta; Hymenoptera; Apidae. The record is from RefSeq and is a predicted model, not a curated record. The transcript is spliced from 3 exons.
AACAAAAACAAUUUCACGAAAAUGGCAACUAUUUAAAUUAUAAAUAUUAUUAUAUUAAUGUAUGAGCAAUAGAUUAUCUGAAUCUGCUCAAAUUUGAAUCUGUAUAAAUUUUGAAAUAAAUUACCUGAAUUUGUCUAAAUUUUCUUAUCAUAAACAAUUAUUCAAUAACAAUCGAACGAAUUUUUUCAUUAAUCGAAACCUAUGAUAUAUUUUGAAAAUGGAUAUAAAUUACAUUAAUUUAGUUAAUUAGUUACUUAAAUUUCUGUAAUACGUAAUUGGUCAUAAGGUGUCAAUCAUUAUGAAAAAUUAAACUUUUUGUUUAUAAAUACUACUUACUUGUUAAGAAUGAGUUUCACAAAUGCUAGAAUAUCUAUACAGAUCUAUAGAUAUACAGGAUGCGGUCGAAUAACAUGUACAAGCGGACGUGAGGUGAUUCCUUAUGAAAAAACAAGAAAAUGUAGAAUAAAAUUUUGACCGAGGCUUUGUUUUAGAAAAAAUCGUAUUUGAAAAUUUAUCAAGUGCACUUGAUCAUCAUUAAUUAUUGACUAGUUUCUGCUGAUGGAUAAACUACGCCUGGACAAUCUAUCAAGUAAAUACGUCGCAUCAAAGUAAUAUACUGCCAUACUUUUGUCUCUCCUGCUAUUGGUGCAACACUACAUACUUUCUUUGAUCUUAAGUUUUGCAAACUGGCGUAACAAAUUAAUCAAAGAACCUUUACCAAAUGGAUGCGUCAUAGAAGCAUGAAAGGCCACUGUUGGAUAUUCUGCACUUAAUAUUGCAACCCAUCUUUGUGUUACCCAAGUUGGGACAAGAUCUACUUUGUUUAAAAUAAACAUUAAAUGCUUA